UACGUAGGGGGCUAGCGUUGUCCGGAUUUAUUGGGCGUAAAGAGCGUGUAGGCGGCCAUGUAGGUCCGGUGUGAAAACUCGAGGCUUAACCUCGAGAUGUCAGCGGAAACCAUUUGGCUAGAGUCCGGAAGAGGAGAGUGGAAUUCCUGGUGUAGCGGUGAAAUGCGCAGAUAUCAGGAAGAACACCAAUGGCGAAAGCAGCUCUCUGGGACGGUACUGACGCUGAGACGCGAAAGCGUGGGGAGCGAACAGG
RNAcentral lists this ribosomal RNA (253 nucleotides) under uncultured bacterium. Its description in RNAcentral is "partial 16S ribosomal RNA". It matches the Rfam family "Bacterial small subunit ribosomal RNA", at positions 524 to 776 of the family's 1533-position model. The record is from RNAcentral.